AGCAGCAGCCGCGGGAAUACGGAGGGUGCAAGCGUUAAUCGGAAUUACUGGGCGUAAAGCGCACGCAGGCGGUUUGUUAAGUCAGAUGUGAAAUCCCCGAGCUUAACUUGGGAACUGCAUUUGAAACUGGCAGGCUAGAGUCUUGUAGAGGGGGGUAGAAUUCCAGGUGUAGCGGUGAAAUGCGUAGAGAUCUGGAGGAAUACCGGUGGCGAAGGCGGCCCCCUGGACAAAGACUGACGCUCAGGUGCGAAAGCGUGGGGAGCAAACAGGAUUAGAUACCCCUGUAGUCCCUGUCUCUUAUAC
This 303-nucleotide ribosomal RNA is filed under the name uncultured bacterium. RNAcentral's name for it is "partial 16S ribosomal RNA". It matches the Rfam family "Bacterial small subunit ribosomal RNA", at positions 507 to 807 of the family's 1533-position model. The record is from RNAcentral.